GGUAAAAUGGUCGAGUAGGCAUUAGACUGUAAAUCUAAAAACAGGGGUAAAGUCCUCUUUUUACCA
Molecule: non-coding RNA, 66 nt
Organism: Delphinapterus leucas (beluga whale)
Lineage: Eukaryota; Metazoa; Chordata; Mammalia; Artiodactyla; Monodontidae
Source: Ensembl